CCUACGGGAGGCAGCAGUGAGGAAUAUUGGUCAAUGGGCGAGAGCCUGAACCAGCCAAGUCGCGUGAGGGAAGACGGUCCUAUGGAUUGUAAACCUCUUUUGUCGGGGAGCAAAAAGGCCUCGUGAGGCCACAAGUGAGAGUACCCGAAGAAAAAGCAUCGGCUAACUCCGUGCCAGCAGCCGCGGUAAUACGGAGGAUGCGAGCGUUAUCCGGAUUUAUUGGGUUUAAAGGGUGCGCAGGCGGGAGAUCAAGUCAGCGGUAAAAUGGCGGGGCUCAACCCCGGCCGGCCGUUGAAACUGGGUUU
This 305-nucleotide ribosomal RNA is filed under the name uncultured bacterium. RNAcentral's name for it is "bacterial SSU rRNA". It matches the Rfam family "Bacterial small subunit ribosomal RNA", at positions 338 to 640 of the family's 1533-position model. The record is from RNAcentral.